CGGUAAACGGCGGCCGUAACUAUAACGGUCCUAAGGUAGCGAAAUUCCUUGUCGGGUAAGUUCCGACCUGCACGAAUGGCGUAAUGAUGGCCAGGCUGUCUCCACCCGAGACUCAGUGAAAUUGAACUCGCUGUGAAGAUGCAGUGUACCCGCGGCAAGACGGAAAGACCCCGUGAACCUUUACUAUAGCUUGACACUGAACAUUGAGCCUUGAUGUGUAGGAUAGGUGGGAGGCUUUGAAGUGUGGACGCCAGUCUGCAUGGAGCCGACCUUGAAAUACCACCCUU
This 287-nucleotide ribosomal RNA is filed under the name Escherichia coli. Its description in RNAcentral is "partial 23S ribosomal RNA". It matches the Rfam family "Bacterial large subunit ribosomal RNA", at positions 1921 to 2207 of the family's 2925-position model. The record is from RNAcentral. Lineage: Bacteria; Pseudomonadati; Pseudomonadota; Gammaproteobacteria; Enterobacterales; Enterobacteriaceae.